GCAGUCGACGGCAUCGCGGGAAGCCUGCUUUCCUGGCGGCGAGUGGCGAACGGGUGAGUAACACAUCGGAACGUACCGGCUAGUGGGGGAUAACCCGUCGAAAGACGGGCUAAUACCGCAUACGCUCUUCGGAGGAAAGCAGGGGACCUUUGGGCCUUGCGCUAGUCGAGCGGCCGAUGUCCGAUUAGCUAGUUGGUGGGGUAAAGGCCUACCAAGGCGACGAUCGGUAGCGGGUCUGAGAGGACGAUCCGCCACACUGGGACUGAGACACGGCCCAGACUCCUACGGGAGGCAGCAGUGGGGAAUCUUGGACAAUGGGGGCAACCCUGAUCCAGCNNUGCCGCGUGGGUGAAGAAGGCCUUCGGGUUGUAAAGCCCUUUCGGCAGGGAAGAAAUCGGCGGGGCGAAUAACCCUGCUGGAUGACGGUACCUGCAGAAGAAGCACCGGCUAACUACGUGCCAGCAGCCGCGGUAAUACGUAGGGUGCGAGCGUUAAUCGGAUUUACUGGGCGUAAAGCGUGCGCAGGCGGCCCGAUAAGACAGGUGUGAAAUCCCUGGGCUCAACCUAGGAAUUGCGCUUGUGACUGGCGGGCUCGAGUACGGUAGAGGGGGGUGGAAUUCCUGGUGUAGCAGUGAAAUGCGUAGAGAUCAGGAGGAACACCGAUGGCGANNNNNGCCCCCUGGGCCUGUACUGACGCUCAUGCACGAAAGCGUGGGGAGCAAACAGGAUUNNNNNCCCNNNNAGUCNNNNNCCUANNNGAUGGGUACUAGCCNUNNNGUGCGCGAUAGCGCU
Molecule: ribosomal RNA, 792 nt
Filed under: uncultured bacterium
Lineage: Bacteria
Description: partial 16S ribosomal RNA
Rfam family: Bacterial small subunit ribosomal RNA
Source: RNAcentral